Ameiurus melas (black bullhead) is the source of this 72-nucleotide non-coding RNA. The record is from the annotation of a GenBank genome assembly. Lineage: Eukaryota; Metazoa; Chordata; Actinopteri; Siluriformes; Ictaluridae.
UCCCUGGUGGACUAGUGGUUAGCAUGCAACGCUUUUAUUGCCUCAACCCGGGUUCGAUUCCCAGUCAGGGAA